AGUGAACGCUGGCGGUAGGCCUAACACAUGCAAGUCGAACGGCAGCACAGUAAGAGCUUGCUCUUACGGGUGGCGAGUGGCGGACGGGUGAGGAAUACAUCGGAAUCUACUUUUUCGUGGGGGAUAACGUAGGGAAACUUACGCUAAUACCGCAUACGACCUACGGGAGAAAGCAGGGGAUCUUCGGACCUUGCGCGAUUGAAUGAGCCGAUGUCGGAUUAGCUAGUUGGCGGGGUAAAGGCCCACCAAGGCGACGAUCCGUAGCUGGUCUGAGAGGAUGAUCAGCCACACUGGAGCUGAGACACGGUCCAGACUCCUACGGGAGGCAGCAGUGGGGAAUAUUGGACAAAGGGCGCAAGCCUGAUCCAGCCAUACCGCGUGGGUGAAGAAGGCCUUCGGGUUGUAAAGCCCUUUUGUUGGGAAAGAAAAGCAGCAGGUUAAUACCCCGCUGUUCUGACGGUACCCAAAGAAUAAGCACCGGCUAACUUCGUG
This 492-nucleotide ribosomal RNA is filed under the name uncultured bacterium. Its description in RNAcentral is "partial 16S ribosomal RNA". It matches the Rfam family "Bacterial small subunit ribosomal RNA", at positions 29 to 507 of the family's 1533-position model. The record is from RNAcentral.